GAUGAACGCUGGCGGCGUGCCUAAUACAUGCAAGUCGAGCGAACAGACGAGGAGCUUGCUCCUCUGACGUUAGCGGCGGACGGGUGAGUAACACGUGGAUAACCUACUUAUAAGACUGGGAUAACUUCGGGAAACCGGAGCUAAUACCGGAUAAUAUAUUGAACCGCAUGGUUCAAUAGUGAAAGACGGUUUUGCUGUCACCUAUAGAUGGAUCCGCGCCGCAUUAGCUAGUUGGUAAGGUAACGGCUUACCAAGGCAACGAUGCGUAGCCGACCUGAGAGGAGGAUCAGCCACACUGGAACUGAGACACGGUCCAGACGCCUACGGGAGGCAGCAGUGGGGAAUAUUGGACAAUGGGCGAAAGCCUGAUCCAGCAAUACCGCGGGGGUGAAGAAGGCCUUCGGGUUGUAAAGCCCUUUUGUUGGGAAAGAAAAGAAGCAGGUUAAUACCCCGCUGUUCUGACGGUACCAAAAGAAUAAGCACCGGCUAACUUCGUG
Molecule: ribosomal RNA, 497 nt
Filed under: uncultured bacterium
Lineage: Bacteria
Description: partial 16S ribosomal RNA
Rfam family: Bacterial small subunit ribosomal RNA
Source: RNAcentral